GGGGCUGUCCUGGUUUCGACGUGGGUUCGGGAUCAGUGUGGUGCAUGCCGAGCUUGAGUGACGCUCGUAAAUCUCCAUUCAAAAAACUAACUGCAAACGACGAACGUUUCGCACUCGCCGCUUAAAUCCGGUGAGCCUUGCAACAGCACGCUGAUGGGCUGGGCAAGGGGGUAGCAAUACCUCCAGGCUGCAAGGGAAUUUUCAUCAGCUGGUUCUAGGCUGGGUACCUUAGUCCGGAACGAGAAAAUAGGGUGCUGGCUUUGUUUGCAGCGUGCGUCUGCGCGGUAAACGAGGCGAGAUUUAAAAUAGCACGCUAAGCAUGUAGAUCUGCCUGACGAAGGCUUGCGGACGCGGGUUCAAUUCCCGCCAGCUCCACCA
RNAcentral lists this transfer-messenger RNA (378 nucleotides) under Comamonas sp. It matches the Rfam family "transfer-messenger RNA". From Rfam's summary of the family: Bacterial tmRNA, also known as 10Sa RNA or SsrA, is named for its dual tRNA and mRNA-like properties. Lineage: Bacteria; Pseudomonadati; Pseudomonadota; Betaproteobacteria; Burkholderiales; Comamonadaceae. RNAcentral also lists the same sequence under 1 other name. The record is from RNAcentral.